AAAUCCUCAGGUGAUGGAGUUCACCGAGAACCGCCGGUCGCGAUCCUCGCCUUCGGCUGAUAACUCCUACCAGCGC
Molecule: non-coding RNA, 76 nt
Filed under: Nitrospira defluvii
Lineage: Bacteria; Pseudomonadati; Nitrospirota; Nitrospiria; Nitrospirales; Nitrospiraceae
Also listed under: 1 other name
Description: Candidatus Nitrospira defluvii Fluoride riboswitch aptamer (crcB RNA motif)
Rfam family: Fluoride riboswitch aptamer (crcB RNA motif)
Source: Rfam by way of RNAcentral